GGGGAGAUGGUGUAACGGUAACACCACAGUCUCCAAAACUGUUGUUCUAGGUUCAAAUCCUAGUCUCCUCG
Molecule: transfer RNA, 71 nt
Filed under: Hyella patelloides LEGE 07179
Lineage: Bacteria; Bacillati; Cyanobacteriota; Cyanophyceae; Pleurocapsales; Pleurocapsaceae
Description: Hyella sp. LEGE 07179 tRNA
Rfam family: tRNA
About the family: Transfer RNA (tRNA) molecules are approximately 80 nucleotides in length. Their secondary structure includes four short double-helical elements and three loops (D, anti-codon, and T loops).
Source: Rfam by way of RNAcentral